CAUCAGUCUGACCAUAAACCAUGUUUGUAGCUUUGUUAAUGCUGUUGGCAGCUGGAUGUGUGAAGUGUGAACAGCUGACACAGCCACCCUCUGUGACUGUGCGGCCAGGUCAGCGUCUGACCAUCACCUGUCAGGUCUCUUAUUCUGUGAGCAGCCAUCACACAGCUUGGAUCAGACAGCCUGCAGGGAAAGGACUGGAGUGGAUUGGAAGUGCACGUGUUGGAUAUGACACAUACUACAAAGAUUCACUGAAGAACAAGUUCAGUAUCAGCUUAGAUUCUUCCAGCAACACUGUGACUCUAAAUGGACAGAAUGUGCAGCCUGAGGACACUGCUGUGUAUUACUGUGCCAGAGACUCACAGUAA
Non-coding RNA from Archocentrus centrarchus (flier cichlid), 365 nucleotides. The record is from the annotation of a RefSeq genome assembly. NCBI's taxonomy places the organism in Eukaryota, Metazoa, Chordata, Actinopteri, Cichliformes, Cichlidae.